Molecule: long non-coding RNA, 520 nt
Filed under: Setaria viridis
Lineage: Eukaryota; Viridiplantae; Streptophyta; Magnoliopsida; Poales; Poaceae
Description: long non-coding RNA (SVIR_LNC001267)
Source: RNAcentral
AGGAAAUCCUGCAUUUAAAUAGUUCAAGAAGUCCAUUACAAGAUCUCUGCUCUUUCGGGAAUGUAUUUUGUUAGUCCAUGCUUCUGACGAAACUCAGGCACAAAAGACAGGCGUCCAUAUGCACAGGAAUAAUUUGCUAUAGCUUUUUAGUUCAGAAACCACGCAUGCUGAUAGCUCAUUGCUAACUGUGUAUUGUUAGGCUUCGGAGGCAUGAGGAUCAUGCAGCGCUGCUUGAGUUGCAGGCUAAGUUCCUUUUUCGUCUUUACGUCUUAUGGCCAGAAGGAAGAUGGUAUGAUAUUGGCAGUGCUUGAUUGAAGGGGGUGAUCAUCAACUUAUCGUACAAUGUGUCACUAGAUGGAAAGGUUUCCAAAAGAGUUUAAAUAGAUAGCCAGCAUGACUAGCAUAUUCAAGGUCAUGUUUGGUUCUCUUGUUGCUUACUGAGCAAACCUUAGGGAGAAAUGCAGAUUUGGAUCGUCAUGUCUGUAUCACUUGCUAUGGGAAAGCAGAACAAAUUUGUUGU